RNAcentral lists this transfer RNA (73 nucleotides) under Felis catus (domestic cat). It matches the Rfam family "tRNA". From Rfam's summary of the family: Transfer RNA (tRNA) molecules are approximately 80 nucleotides in length. Their secondary structure includes four short double-helical elements and three loops (D, anti-codon, and T loops). RNAcentral also lists the same sequence under 1 other name. Lineage: Eukaryota; Metazoa; Chordata; Mammalia; Carnivora; Felidae. The record is from Rfam by way of RNAcentral.
GUCUGGCUGGCUCAGUUGGUAGAGUAUGUGACUCUUGGUCUCAGGGUUGUGAGUUUGAGCCUCACGUUGGGUG